This 236-nucleotide unclassified non-coding RNA is filed under the name Hevea brasiliensis (rubber tree). Lineage: Eukaryota; Viridiplantae; Streptophyta; Magnoliopsida; Malpighiales; Euphorbiaceae. The record is from RNAcentral.
UGAAGACCAAUUUGGUGGUGGUCGUCUAUUAGCUUGUAUCUCAUCCCGCCCUGGUCAGUGUGGCCGUACUGAUGGAUACAUCUUGGAGGGUAAAGAGGUGGAGUUCUACAUGAAGAAAAUCCAGAGGAAGAAGGGGAAGGGAGCUGGUGCUGCCUAAAAUUUUGUAAUCUGAAUCUAAUAUUCAGAUUUUAUUCCCAACUUAUUAUUUCCCUUAUAUUUGGACAAUGUAAUUUUUA